RNA transcript from Xenopus laevis (African clawed frog), 4486 nucleotides. It is a transcript of the gene named P2X purinoceptor 7-like, with no coding region annotated. Lineage: Eukaryota; Metazoa; Chordata; Amphibia; Anura; Pipidae. The record is from RefSeq and is a predicted model, not a curated record. The transcript is spliced from 7 exons.
CGCACGGCCGCGGGAGGAGCGCGACGUGGCUUUACUGGGGUGCCCAACACUGAACCCCAGUGCUUAGACAUUCUUUGGAUUUGUUUGUUUUUCCUCUAUAAGAAGUAGGCGGUACGAGCAGAGACGGGUUACAUUUUGCGGGAAGCUUCUGACUGCGUAUUAAUUGAGUUACGGCGAAUAGUCCCUCCCACAAGGUAGCUACGUGAUGCGUCACUGCGCUUACGUGUAGUUGUGACGCCAGUCUCCCGUGAUGAGACUUGCGGCGCUGAGAUCUUCUGUAAGACUGGGGGCUAGGCGCUUGCCCUAAACAGGAAGCAGCGAUUUGGGUCCUGGGGCAGUGUAGGGAAAGAACGUACAGGCACCCUAGCACGUUGCCUGGCAGCCAAGCCCCCUUAACACCUAAAACCUCCCGGGCGCUGGUAGACUGGGCCGCUCCCGAUGGCGGACACCCCAGGGUGUUGGAAAGUAUGUGGUGCAGUAGUGAGAGAAGCCUCUGUGUAUGUACUGUCAUAUAUUGUGUGUUUUAUUUACAGCGUUAACCCUGUGAUCAGUGUGACGUUGCAUGAAGGAGAGUGAAAAUGUAUAAAGCUAAUUGGGCCCUUGUAAGAGAGCAAUUGGUUUAGUUGCGUGCAGCAUAGCUAUGGACAUACAAAUCAGUCCCACAAUAUAGUGUGCAGUGAGCAGCCGGGGAAUAGUGCAACGCUGUGUGCUGCUGUAUUGCUGCAACUCAAGUGCUAUCAGUGCUGUACCACGUGCCAAAGAGUUACUUGAGCAAUUGUCACAUCAGCUUUGGGAGAGAGGAAGGUGUUGGCAAUUACAGAGGAGAGGGAAGCUCAUUCCUCCUCAAUAAAACACUAGUCAAAAUCCUUGUUUUCCCCCUUUUAUAUUUCACUUUGUGCGUUUCAUCUGCAUCAAGCAUUCAAGCGCAUAUAUAGAAUGUUACAUCAUUAUCAUUUAAAUAAAUGCUCGGGGGUCCAAGUCCUAAGUGAUUAUGUGCUUCCAUACACAAUAUUAUAAUAAUUCAUGUGUUUUACGUUGCAUGAAUAUGUGUUGCCAAACUGCCUGACACUGGUAGCCUUACCCCAAAUGAUCUUGCUUCUAUAAACUACUUGUUUCUUCUCAACUGCCCCCGCAUCUGAUAUUUUUCAUUCAGUUCAGAGAUUGGCUCGUUUGUGUUGGGAACAGUGGAUGAUCAGUCUGUGUGUGCUCACAUGCUGCACAGCUGAGAUUGAGUUCAGCCCAAAUACACGGAAGAAGAUAUUUGCAGGCUGACCUCCUCCGCUGUGUGUGAGCACAUACUGGCUGAUCAGAUUCAAAUCAAUGGAGCAGAGACAGGGAGCAGAUUUGUUUAUCUCUGCCUGCAAAAAUACGCUGACUGACAACAGCCGGAGCCUUCAGCCUGUGUGCCUAUAACUUUAACAGAAAGUAGACAUUGUCCUUCCUAAGGGGGUGCAGGCAAGGGCCCUUUUUAAAUAGUUUAGAGAGCCAGGAAUGCGGAUCACUAUGCAAACUACUGCCAUCAACUAGCAGAUGGCAUGCCUGCUUUAUGUCAGACAUCUAAGUUUGAUAUGAAAUUGCUCCAGAAUCAUGCAAAGUAAACAAAGCUAUGUACAAAAAUAUUCUGUUUUAAAAACCCAGUUAGACAAUGUUUUUUUUUACCCGCCUAGAUGAACUUCCCAUUUAAGAGCCUGCUAAGUAUUCUGAAACGUUGGUUCCUAUUGCAGACCCCCAGUGAAACACACUUCACAUUUAAAAUCUAGAUACUAAGUGGAUUAUUGUUACAUUUCUUUUUAGUGAUCAUCACCCAUGCUCCCCUCUACUAAGUGAUGCCCUUGGGCCAAGUAUAUGGGGGGGAGGGAAGACAAGGGGAGGAGAAAUAGUUCACAGCAUGGGGAAACAAGUGCUGAUGGACAUGGGGGAUAGGCUACUAGUAUAUAUUAUCUAAAUUGGAAACCAAGUAUCUUGGUGGGAGACAUAAGAGGAGACAUACAAUAGUAACAUAAUAAAGAACCUGACCUAGGGUAUAUUUAAAGCCAGAGGAUGUAGCACAGAUGACUAAACCAACAAAAAAAAAUCAAUGAUACUUGGCCCAAGGGCAUCACUUAGUAUCUGCAGAGAGCCGGAGACUUUAACUAUUACAUUGCCUUUUCCAUAAUAUCCAUUAUAACAUAGUAACCAUAAUGUAGAGAUCAGACGGGAGGGACUAUUGGUGCAUGUGCAAUACAACCAGGAAGCUCGCAACCCUGAAAAAAUGGCCGCCAGGAAAAUGCUUGAAUCUACCGAGAAAGAACAGAGUGGUGCAGGGAGCAGGAGGGGAAUUUCGGUGCGAAACUAAUUCGGUUCGGGUUGGGUUAAGGUAGGCGUAUUUGUCUGAAAACUCCUAGAUCUCCUCAAAGACCUACAGGACCGUUUACACCACACAGACGAGGUCUCUCUCUCCCUGCCCCUCCGGUUUCCUGUUUCGCUCCGCCCACCCAUGAUGCCUCUCCUCACUUUCCAGCCUCAAAGGAUCUUUCUCCUCCUCACAGUCUCUCGCUCCCCCUCCCACCAUGGCAAAAUCUCCCUCUCAUGUUCAGCUGCCCCUCCCAUCCUCCGUGUCCACAGUCUCACUCGUGUUGCUUUUCCUCAUGCUCAGUUAAAGGCAGAGCUGAUGAUCUCACCCAUGGCAGAAGAGAAAUUUGCGCUUUCCAUAUGCUUUCUGCUUGUAGAUUUAUAUCUUCUGACAUUCCAAACUGAAAAAGCUUUGCACCUGUUGGUGGUUCUUGAAAAAAUGAUUUUACAGGGGCACAGCAAUAAGAAUGCAAUGCUAAUAAUAAAGAACCCUUUGCCCAGAGGGGUGAUGGCGGAGUUCAUGUAGAAGCAGCAAAAUCGAAAUCAUCAGUAUAAGGUGAGAGCCUACAUUCAAAUGAAGUCUCUAAAAGCAUGUAAGAGGGAAAUAAAGUCCGUGAUUAAUACAUCUGGAAAGGAGAUAGGGUAAAUGACCCUUGCUUUAAAAAUGACCCAGAGUGGAGUGAUCAAGAAUUAGUUUCUAUACAAAAUACACCUCCAGAUGAGAGAAUGGGAAACACAGCAUGGUGUAAAUGUGGAAAGUGCAUUCCUAUGCCAACCAGAGAUGAGUCCUGCUGCUGCACGGAAAUCCAGGACGUAGCACAUUAUUUUGAAGGUGAUGUCAUUUGCAUAACCACUGUGGAUGAUAUGUUGGAUAUGUGCAUGGAAGAAAAUCGACUGGAUUUCAUAAGAUGCAGCUGCCGUUACUCAAGAGCAGCAUAUAGUCGUGAUCGAAACCGGUAAUUUUAAUAAAGAUGAUUAAUGAAUAGUGUAUUAUAGUGUAAUGACAUAUCACAACAAUGUUUAUAACAAUCUGACACCCCCAAAGCAUUUAAAAUUACCCAUUUUAUACUCCAGGACUUUAUACUAUCUGGCCUUUGUACUUUGCUACUGAGCAGGGGGGCAUAUGUUUUUCUAUAUUCCUAAGUGAAGUGUUGCUAUGUUUUAACCUAUAUGUGCAGAACACUACAGGCCUGCACAUUGCACAACAGGUAGGGAAUCCUAUUCAGUUUUGAUCAUGACAAGCGGCUGAAGUAUGGCAAAUUUGACAAUUGAAGGAUUAAUUUGGCUGCCUCUUGUUUUAUUAAAAAAAACUUUGCUUGCAUGUAUUCUUUUUUUUUCUUCAAUUUUUUUUAAAGGGAGAUAAGAGAAUGUGACAGCAGUGAGCCAUGCUGAUAAUUACAAUGGGCCUGCAUAUCAAUGUAGCACAGGCGAAAGGAACAAUGUGAUCCUUUUGAACAAAUGUGAAAUACACAAAACUAAAAAAAAAAAAGCAUACAUUUUUAUUAAACUUUAAAAUUUCAAAUUAAAAAGUGUAUACCAUCCCCUAUUUACAGAUGUGCUCUUUAAAACAGGACAAUAGUUUUCCACAUCUAGAGUGUACACUCUGCCAGCCUGAAGCUGUUGUGGUGAGGAGAAUCAUUUGUAUUCAAGCUAUUAAAAACCAUAAACCCAUAUUGAAUUUCUGUUUAGAGAGAUUGUGCUCUCUUACCAAAAAACUAGUUUGAAAGUGGUUGACUAUGGCAUAGCCCUAUCCUGACAGGCCAGAAUAUGCCUAAUCUAAUUGCUAUGCCAUGUUCCCCUUUGUUUGCAUUCCUUUCUGUCUGUUCUCCAAUACUGAUCUUUCUGGAAUAUGCUCAGUCAGAUGUUGUGUGAUUGAGCAUAUUCUGCAAGAUGUAUCCAUAUCAGUGAACUGAAAGAAGAGAAUGCAAAGACAGGGGAAGAUAUUGUCUGGGAAUUCGGCUGUGCAACUCUGCAGGGAGGGUGCUUGGAGGGGGCAAUGGAGGCAGGUUGAGGGGGCUUAGGAUGGGGGUUAGUUUAGAACUUAUGUUUGGCUCCAAAUGUAUUAUAAGUAAUGUAUUUAAGGAAAUGUAUCACUAUAUAAUCUAAAGCAUCUAGUCAUUUUAUCAAUGUAUAUUAUAGUCAUUAUUUUUUUUUU